Molecule: non-coding RNA, 99 nt
Organism: Helianthus annuus (common sunflower)
Lineage: Eukaryota; Viridiplantae; Streptophyta; Magnoliopsida; Asterales; Asteraceae
Source: Rfam
AAACUGUGAUGUGGCUAUUUCUUGAUUAACUCUUUGACUCUUUCCCAAGCUUCAUAUAGAAUCUCAUCUUCUUUUUGUUCGAAUAUCACUUCGGAGUUU